AGAUAAUUAAUCUAUAUUUUGUGAGUUUAAUUAACUAAACUAUUGUUUGAUGGACACUAAAUAAUGUAUGUAUAACUGGAAUUAAAUGUUUGAUAGGUUUUACUAAAAUAAUUUAAUAGACAUAUUAGAUACUGAAAUUACCUUAAUACCCUCUAUUGUUACAAGAAAAUGACAAAAUUAUCAUGAGCAUAAUUAGAAAAAAAAAACUAUGACACAACACGUAAGCCCCCACCCCUCUGUUGUGCAGACACCUCAACCCCCCACCCACCCACCCCACCCCUUUCUUCCUCAUUCAAUUUACGCUUCCCCCAUCUAAGUCUGCAAAAAAAAAAAAAUCGGCAAACAAAUCUUGAUUGCUUUUGCCAGAUUUUGACAUACAAAAUUUGGUUGCUCGAUUGGGGUUAUAGUUAAUUGAGUCGCCAGAUUUUGCAAACUAUGAUUGGGCUUGAUUGGGGUUGCUUUCGCCAAAUUUCGCUCCCCCAUCUCUGUAUGCGAAAUCAACAAAUUUCGCAAAAAAAUUUCCACUGAGCAAGACGCACAGAAGCAUUAGCUCCAUCAUUCUCUCACCUCCAUUGUUCAUGGCAAACUCAGUCAUCCCUCCCUUAUGCGACACUCAAGCACCAAAUUGAGUAAUAGAU
Molecule: long non-coding RNA, 638 nt
Filed under: Salvia miltiorrhiza (redroot sage)
Lineage: Eukaryota; Viridiplantae; Streptophyta; Magnoliopsida; Lamiales; Lamiaceae
Description: long non-coding RNA (SMIL_LNC012361)
Source: RNAcentral